UUUCCAAUAUCAAACUAGUUCAAUCAGCUAACAAUACUAUUACUACAUCAAGCAAAAAUCAAAUUUUUUUCUAGUUACUAAUGAUGUUUCAUAGAGUAAAGUAAUACAAUUCAAAUUAACAUUCUAACACUCAAAAUAGUAUAAUUCCAAGAUAUCAAAGACCCCCCCACAUAAAAGAGCAGCAAGAAUUUGCAGUCAUGGAUGACUGUCUUUCUGUAGUCCAUGUUGUUCAACAAUUUUAAUCUCUUGCAGCAUAUCUGCUUUUGAUGCCUUUAGCACUUGUCGUAUCCCAAAACUUUCUUCUUCUGUUUUAUUCUCAGUUGGUGUUUUCUUGAGAACAAGUUAUCCCACCCGAGCGAACUUGUCCAUAAAUUUAUAUUCCCAGUCUUGCAGAAUUUUAAGUUGAGCGUCACUAAGGCCUUCAAGGCUCCCAUUAAAAUCUUCAAGUUUGAAUGAUAACUGAGCUAAGGCUCGGCUUGCAUCUCUUCCAGCAAGCAUUGCAUAUGAACCACCAGGACUAUAGAACAUCUUGGAGGUAGAGACAUCGUAGAUCUUUUCUUUGAUAGCCAUCAACAAUGGUUUUUCUGAGUCAGAGCCAUUAUAAGCUCUAAGUUCCUCUUCCGGCAUGUCACCGAGGUGGAGAGACUAUCUUUUGAUGGGAACAAAGUCAUCAGCAGAGAAGAACAUGCCACAAACAACUUUGUAAGUCACAACCAUCAACGCUACAGUGGUGAAGAACGUUGUCGGCCAUAACCCCGUGUACUGCAAGAUAAUCUCUGUCAUUGUCGUCCAUACCGCCGUCGUCAUUCUUCUCUUUUUAGCUUGAUGGAGAAAGAGGAAAAAAUAAGUUGAAAUGUCUAUCAAAUUUUGAGCUGCAAUGCACUCCUAUACUUACUACUAUAAUUAGCUAACAAUACUAUUACUACAUCAAGCAAAAAUCAAAUCUUUUUCUAGUUACAAAUGAUGUUUCAUAUAGUAAAUGACCUACCAUAGUAAAACAAUUCAAAUUCACAUUUUAACACACAAAAUAGUAUUAUUUCAAGAUAUCAAAGACUCACCACAUAAAAGAGCAGCAAGAAUUUGCAGUCUACUCUCCUGCAGCAUAUCUACUUUUGAUGCUUUCAGCACUUGUCCUAUCCCAAACACUUUCUUCUUCUGUUUUAUUCUCAAUUAGUGUUUUCUUUAAAAAAAGUUGUCCCACCCAGGCGUACUUGUUCAUAAAUUUAUAUUCCCAGUCUUGCAGAAUUUCAAGUUGAGCGUCACUAAGGCCAUCAAGGCUCCCAUUAAAAUAUUCAGGUUUGAAUGACAACUGAGCCAAGGCUCGACUUGCAUCUCUUCCAACAAACAUUGCAUAUGAACCACCAGGACCAUAGAACAUCUUAGAGGUAGAGACAUCGUAGAUCUUUCCUUUGAUAGCCAUCAACAAUGGUUUUCUGACUAAGAGCCAUUAUAAGCUCUAAGUUCCUCUUCCGUCAUGUCACCGAGGUGGAGAGGUUAUCUUUUGAUGGGAACAAAGUCAUCAGCAGAGAAGAACAUGCCACAAACAACUUUGUAAGUCACAACCAUCAACGCUACAGUAGUGAAGAACGUUGUUGGCCAUAACCCCGUGUACUGUAAGAUGAUAUCUGUCAUUGUCGUCCAUACCGCCGCCGUCAUUCUUCUCCUUUUAGUUUGGUGGAGAAAGAGGAAAAAAUGAGUUGGAAUGCCUACCAACUCUUGAGCUGCAAUGCACUCCUAUACUUACUACUACACUACAACCAAUCAAAUACUUUUCCAAUAGCAAACUAGUUGAAUCAGCUAACAAUACUAUUACUACAUCAAGCAAAAAUCAAAUCUUUCUCUAGUUACUAAUGAUGUUUCAUAUAGUAAAUGACUUACCAAAGUAAUACAAUUCAAAUUAACAUUUUAACACACAAAAUAAUAUAAUUCCAAGAUAUCAAAGACCCUCCACAUAAAAGAGCAGCAAAAAUCUGCAGUCAUGGGUGGCUGUCUUUCUGUAGUCCAUGUUCUUCAACAAUUCUACUCUCCUGCAACAUAUCUGCUUUAGAUUCCUUCAGCACUUGUCCUAUCCCAAACACUUUCUUCUUCUGUUUUAUUCUCAGUUGGUGUUUUCUUUGGAACGAGUUGUCCCACCCAACCAUACUUAUCCAUAAAUUUAUAUUUCCAGUCUUGCAGAAUUUCAAGUUAAGCGUCACUAAGGCCUUCGAGGCUCCCAUUAAAAUCUUCAGGUUUGAAUAUAACUGAGUUAAGGCUCAGCUUACAUCUCUUCUAACAAACAUUGCAUAUGAACCACCAGUACCAUAGAACAUCUUGGAGGUAGAGACAUCGUAGAUCUUUCCUUUGAUAGCCAUCAAAAAUGGUUUUUCUGAGUCAAAGCCAUUAUAAGCUCUAAGUUCCUCUUUCGUCAUGUCACCAAGGUUGGGAGACUGUCUUUUGAUGGGAACAAAGUCAUCACCAGAGAAGAACAUGCCACAAACAACUUUGUAAGUCACAACCAUGCUACGAUGGUGAAGAACGCUGUCGACCAUAACCUCGUGUACUGCAAAAUGAUCUCUGCCGUUGUCGUCCAUACCGCCGUCGUCAUUCUUCUCUUUUUAGUUUGGUGGAGAAAGAUGAAAAAUGAGUUGGAAUGCCUACCAACUAAGUUUUGAAAACACUUUUAAAAAACAUUUUUUUUUGAGUCUAUCCAAACGAGCUCUAUAUCCUGAAAUAUAAAUAAUCAUUGUAAAUUUACUUUAUGCCUUAGUAUUCCAAAAUUCAGAAGCUUCAACCAUAAAUCGCACCCCAUACAGUCGGUAGAGUUUACAAAAAUGUCAGUUGCUAUCAACUUAAAAUUAUGAAAAUCGAAUUAACCUGAGAAAUUAGACUUUUAAAUCGAAGUCCAUGUUUAUAUCCUGAUAUAUUGCUUCUAGCCCCAUAAUGUUUUAUCCAGAGUUGAUUCCUAUCAUUAUUAUUUAGUGUUCUUUUUGGCCAUUCUACGUGCCAAUACAUUCCACAUAUUAAUCGUGAUCGUCCUUGAGCAACUAUAUCACCUCAUUUUACUUAUUGACCAUCCUUGAGCGACUAUAUCAUCUGCUAAUGUAAGUUCGAAGACACAUUCUCGCACUCCAGUGAAGCACUAGAAAUGUGCAAAUACCAUCCGAAUUGGUGAGCCUAUCAAUGAUGAUGUUUAGUUACUUACAGUCAAAAUAUUGCCAAGGUCUUGUCACGACUUAGACAAAUCUUAUUUUGCUAGAAACUUCGUAGACUGGAUUUUAAAAAAUAUUUGUUAUAAUGUUUUAUUCAAAGUGAGAAUUCUAUUUCAUUUAGUUUAAAAGACUUUCCUUGAUUUUCAUUGUACUUCCACACUUGAAGUCAGAUUACACCUUCCUGAUCCGACAUGCCCAUUGCGGUCAGAACCUCAGCUCGAAUCCUGACACCUAUCAAGUUUACAUAAAAACCAACCAUUUGUGCAAAGGACAGACUAUAUAAAAUUGAAAGUAAUUAUCUUUUUCAUGUGUAUACUAAUAAAUGUUGUAUUGUCCUAACUUUUGUGUGCAGACAUACAAGAUAACUUUUGGUCUCAUAUGUCCCAAGUGAAAUUAAACAUGGUAAGAAGUUUAGAUUGCAAGUUCAAGACCCAUCAAUUUACAAAAAGCUAAACAUAAUCAUGUUAAAGAUGAUGGCAACUUGUCAAACUCCAGAAUCAAUACACAUCCAACCCAACAUUGUAGAAUUUGUGAUCCUUCAAUUAUUAUUCAUGCAAACACAACUUCAUAAAUUAAAUUAGUAAGAGAGUAUGUAUCAUUGUUUACUGAACCGUUCCAUCAUGAGGGGUCAAGUGGUUCACCCAAUAACAAUGCAAUUAUAAUAUCCCUGAAGUUUACGAGAGAUCCAUUCACAAAUUAAGGCAAUAGAUCCCUGCUUUUUUCAUCAGGUUUUGUAAAUCUAUAUCAAAAAAAAAAAAAGAACUAGUACUACAUUGAGAAUACGAAGCUCAGAAGCUGAGCGUAACAAGCAAAUUUCAUCGAAGAUCCAAGCUUUAAAUAGAUCUCCUUACAUGUUGGCACCUCAUCACCGCAAAACAAUUUGAUAGUUAAAACAAUUUGGCUACUUUAAAUUUGAAGGAAUGUUGGGGGUAAACAACAACAUCCUCCAAUCGUGAUAAGUAGCAACGUAUAGGCACCGUGCAAAAGGUAAUUUCUUACGGGAAUAAGAAGAAAGUACCUGUUGUCUGAGAAAUGCCAUAUACAAAAUAGAGCAACAAAUACAAAUAUAUCCAAGAUAUUGUGUCAAGAGAGUAUACAAUAACUCAAAUGGAUCUUCAUAUUGUAUAUUAAUUCAUUUAGGCUUCAUGCUGCAGACGGGUUACCAUUAACCGGCACCGGCUGCAGACUCUUUUUUGAAGCCCAGUCAUUAAAGGAUUUCACAAUGCAGAUCUUUUUAAACAAUUUUUCUCACAAUAAUGUUUACUUUGAAGAACAAAAUGACACUAAGUGAACCAAUCAAAAACUACUGAGUUUUGUAUUUACUCUAAUAAAAUGGAUUUAGAGAUUACAAGUAACAUAGAUUCAUCUAUUAAAUGUUUACUCAAAUUCACUUUGUGAACUAAAAAAUUCUUUUGUACUGCAAGUCCGCAGGUGCAAACUAAAAUAUUAAACUACUUUAUAUUUGCAAUUUAUCAACAAUAUUAGCAAGAGUUUUUCCAAUGUAAAAUCAUACGACAACAACAACAUACCCAGUAUACUCCCAACAUACCAAGGUCUGUGGAGGGCAAGUAAAGUGCACACAGUCCAUACCACUACCUCCAAAGAAUUAGAGAGACUGUUUCCGAUAGAUCCAUAGCUCGAGACAAAAGAAACAAUAAACAAAGCCAAAAUAAAACAUAAAACAAGAUGAAAUGAAAGAAAUAAGACACCAACAGAGCAACUAUACACUAUUUAACCAAAAGCACACACCACACCCAAACCUCCAAUCUAAGAGCAUAGCUCUACAAUUACUAGCAUGACUACACCAAAGCAAUUCUAUCUACUAGCUACAACACACUCCCACAAACUAGCCCUCUAACCUAAUUCGCGUACUUCAUACCUUCCUAUCUACGGUCAUGUCCUUAAUAAGCUGUAAUUGCUCAAUGUCAUGUCCAAUCACCUCCCUCCAUUGUAAAUUCAUGCAAAGUACAUAUGUUGAUGAUCCAAGUUUUUAACACUAUUCUCCCGUAUGGGCAAAUACAACUAGCCAAAAUGCUAAUUGGAAUUAUUCUCCACUUGUGCUAUAAUUCAACAAAAAAGAGCUUAACAUACCCUUGACCAAUUCAAAUUGGGACAAAAUUACCCUCCAUCACAUCUAUUAGACCUCAAAUAUUCAUUAAUAUUAUUAGAAAUCAUAAUUUGUAAAACAAUCAGCAUACAAAAUGCUUAGGAACAGAGAAAUAACAAAGCUGCUCAGAUAUUGCAAUUAACUAAUCAUGUAUUUAACAUAAGUCCAGACAUAAUUUUAGCAAAUUCAUCACUGCAACCAGAUAAAACUACAAAACUUAAUUAAUAAAUACCAAAAUUUGUUAGUAAUAAAUAAGAGUAGCAAUCAACUCUCAGAGAAAUUCCAUAAAUGGAAGUUUGUGCAGACAAUCAACAUGGCAUCGUUUGAAUCGUGUGAAAUGUACAAGCACAUACUUUAAUGGAGGUCCACUAGAGAAACGCACGAACUACUUACAUCGCAUUUGUUUCUCUGAAUUAAAGAGUGUACAGAUAGAGCAGCAAGAAUCUGCAGUCAUGGGUGGCUGUCUUUCUGUACUCGAUGUUCUUCAACAAUUCUACUCUCCUGCAGCAUAUCUGCUUUUGAUGCCUUCAGCACUAGUCCUAUCCCAAACACUUUCUUCUUCUGCUUUAUUCUCAGUUGGUGUUUUCUUUGGAACAAGCUGUCCCACCUGGGCAUACUUGUCCAUAAAUUUAUAUUCCCAGUCUUGCAGAAUUUCAAGUUGAGCAUCACUUAGGCCUUCAAGGUUCCCAUUAAUAUCUUCAGGUUUGAAUGAUAACUGAGCUAAGGCUCGGCUUGCAUCUCUUCCAGCAAACAUUGCAUAUGAACCACCAGGACCAUAGAACAUCUUGGAGGUAGAGACAUCGUAGAUCUUUCCUUUGAUAGCCAUCAACAAUGGUUUUUCUGAGUCAGAGCCAUUAUAAGCUCUAAGUUCCUCUUCCGUCAUGUUGCCGAGGUGGAGAGGCUGUCUUUUGAUGGGAACAAAGUCAUCAGCAGAGAAGAACAUGCCACAAACAACUUUGUAAGUCACAACCAUCAACGCUACAAUGGUGAAGAACGCUGUCGGCCAUAACCCCGUGUACUGCAAGAUGAUCUCAGUCAUUG
This 6336-nucleotide long non-coding RNA is filed under the name Capsicum annuum. RNAcentral describes it as "long non-coding RNA (CANN_LNC006098)". The record is from RNAcentral. Lineage: Eukaryota; Viridiplantae; Streptophyta; Magnoliopsida; Solanales; Solanaceae.